UUGUUUUGCACGAAAACAGCUGUUCAGA
RNAcentral lists this small RNA (28 nucleotides) under Bombyx mori (domestic silkworm). RNAcentral describes it as "ovarian small RNA-38206". Lineage: Eukaryota; Metazoa; Arthropoda; Insecta; Lepidoptera; Bombycidae. The record is from RNAcentral.